RNAcentral lists this ribosomal RNA (262 nucleotides) under uncultured bacterium. RNAcentral describes it as "partial 16S ribosomal RNA". It matches the Rfam family "Bacterial small subunit ribosomal RNA", at positions 524 to 784 of the family's 1533-position model. The record is from RNAcentral.
UACGUAGGUGACAAGCGUUGUCCGGAUUUACUGGGCGUAAAGAGCGCGCAGGCGGUCGAUCAAGUCGAGUGUGAAAGCCCCCGGCUCAACUGGGGAGGGUCAUUCGAUACUGAUCGACUCGAAGGCAGGAGAGGGUAGUGGAAUUCCCGGUGUAGUGGUGAAAUGCGUAGAUAUCGGGAGGAACACCAGUGGCGAAGGCGACUACCUGGCCUGUUCUUGACGCUGAGGCGCGAAAGCUAGGGGAGCAAACAGGGAUUAGAAC